Molecule: ribosomal RNA, 825 nt
Filed under: uncultured bacterium
Lineage: Bacteria
Description: bacterial SSU rRNA
Rfam family: Bacterial small subunit ribosomal RNA
Source: RNAcentral
UNUGACUUGAGUGCAGAAGGGGAGAGUGGAAUUCCAUGUGUAGCGGUGAAAUGCGUAGAUAUAUGGAGGAACACCAGUGGCGAAAGCGGCUNUCUGGUCUGUCACUGACGCUGAGGCUCGAAAGCGUGGGUAGCGAACAGGAUUAGAUACCCUGGUAGUNCACGCCGUAAACGAUGAGUGCUAGGUGUUAGGCCCNUUCCGGGGCUUAGUGCCGGAGCUAACGCAAUAAGCACUCCGCCUGGGGAGUACGACCGCAAGGUUGAAACUCAAAGGAAUUGACGGGGGCCCGCACAAGCGGUGGAGCAUGUGGUUUAAUUCGAAGCAACGCGAAGAACCUUACCAGGUCUUGACAUCCCGAUGCUAUUCUUAGAGAUAGGAAGUUACUUCGGUACAUCGGAGACAGGUGGUGCAUGGUUGUCGUCAGCUCGUGUCGUGAGAUGUUGGGUUAAGUCCCGCAACGAGCGCAACCCUUAUUGUUAGUUGCCAUCAUUAAGUUGGGCACUCUAGCGAGACUGCCGGUAAUAAACCGGAGGAAGGUGGGGAUGACGUCAAAUCAUCAUGCCCCUUAUGACCUGGGCUACACACGUGCUACAAUGGUCGGUACAACGAGUUGCGAGCCGGUGGCGGCAAGCUAAUCUCUGAAAGCCGAACUCAGUUCGGAUUGGAGGCUGCAACUCGCCUCCAUGAGGUCGGAAUCGCUAGUAAUCGCGGAUCAGCACGCCGCGGUGAAUACGUUCCCGGGCCUUGUACACACCGCCCGUCACACCACGAGAGUUUGUAACACCCGAAGUCGGUGAGGUAACCUUUUAGGGGCCAGCCGCCUAA